CAACCGUCUCACAUAAAUAAUAAUUAUAUUUAAAAUACUUUACACCACAUACUAUUAUAUUUUAAUUUAUAUUCUAAAUCAAAUUAUAUAAUAUAAAUAUUUUGCAGUGUAAAAGCUUUCAAAUCGACGUAAAAUCAACAAAUUCUGCGAAGGAGGUGCCAACAAGAUAAUCCGGAAUUUCUGCUACAACAAUUUCUGGGAAAGAAAGGAACAAUCUUCCCAAGAGACAAGCUCCCCCGUGUACGUUCUGCAUGUUGACCAGAAUCAUGAAUCAUGAAUCAAGAGACUUCCUUGCCAAAUAUCUGGGGACUGGGGAGGAAUGAAGCGCAUUUGUAGCCCUUUUAGAAGUCAUGGUCCUGCACUUCAAUGGCAACAGAAGAGCUUCAAAUUUGUAUAUAAUAUAGUGAUCAACUGUAAAAUAUAGAAUUGUCGACACCAAGUUAUUGUCAAAAUCAGCUAUCCGUAACAUGCUGACUGCCACCACCAUCUAUGCCAGAAUCAUCCCUAGAAGUAGAUUCUGGAAUAUUAAGACUGUUUGUUGUAGUGACAUUAUCGUCACCAUAUUCAGAUGCAGAGCUAGCAUCAAUCUCUUUUUCAAGACAGUCAAGUUGCACACAUUCAGGAACGUCACUGUUGUAACUUUCCGCAUCAUGACUCCUAGUUGAUACUGUUAAAUCUUCUUUCUUAACAACAUUAAACACAAUGCCGUUGUGGGUCCUCUCUGGCUGCAAAAGAUCACCUUCCGUCACUGUUAAGCUGGAACUAUUACUGGAAACUCUAUUGAAAAGAUCCCUCUGAUCAAACUCUGUGCCUUCUGGGCUUCUAUCCGGUGUUGUUACCCUUGGGCCAUGAUAAUAUUGAUUGUUGCCUGCUAUUUGAAGUACA
Long non-coding RNA from Carya illinoinensis, 885 nucleotides. RefSeq lists it as uncharacterized. The record is from RefSeq and is a predicted model, not a curated record. NCBI's taxonomy places the organism in Eukaryota, Viridiplantae, Streptophyta, Magnoliopsida, Fagales, Juglandaceae. The transcript is spliced from 2 exons.